AGCGAACGCUGGCGGCGUGCUUAACACAUGCAAGUCGAACGUGAAAUGUAGCAAUACAGAGUAAAGUGGCGUACGGGUGAGUAACACGUGGGUAAUCUACCAAAGAGCCCGGAAUAACCGGCCGAAAGGCUGGCUAAUACUGGAUAGUUCAAGCCUGUUGUAAUGGCAGGAUUGGGAAAGGGAGCGGGUAACCGCCUUCACUUUUUGAUGAGCCCGCGUCUGAUUAGCUAGUUGGAGGGUAAUGGCCUACCAAGGCUAAGAUCAGUAGCUGGUCUGAGAGGAUGAUCAGCCACACUGGAACUGAACACGGUCCAGACUCCUACGGGAGGCAGCAGUGGGAAUCUUGCGCAAUGGACGAAAGUCUGACGCAGCCACGCC
RNAcentral lists this ribosomal RNA (378 nucleotides) under uncultured bacterium. RNAcentral's name for it is "bacterial SSU rRNA". It matches the Rfam family "Bacterial small subunit ribosomal RNA", at positions 29 to 398 of the family's 1533-position model. The record is from RNAcentral.